UGGGGAAUCUUGCGCAAUGGUCUAACGACUGACGCAGCGACGCCGCGUGUGGGAGGACGCCUUUCGGGGUGUAAACCACUGUUGCCCGGGACGAACAGCCGCUUUCGAGCGGCCUGACGGUACCGGGUGAGGAAGCACCGGCUAACUCCGUGCCAGCAGCCGCGGUAAUACGGAGGGUGCGAGCGUUGUCCGGAAUCAUUGGGCGUAAAGGGCGCGUAGGUGGCUUCUUAAGCGUGCGGUGAAAGCCUGGGGCUCAACCCCGGGUCGGCCGUGCGAACUGGGGGGCUGGAGCACUGUAGAGGCAGGCGGAAUUCCGGGUGUAGCGGUGGAAUGCGUAGAGAUCCGGAAGAACACCGGUGGCGAAGGCGGCCUGCUGGGCAGUUGCUGACACUGAGGCGCGACAGCGUGGGGAGCAAACA
This 419-nucleotide ribosomal RNA is filed under the name uncultured Gemmatimonas sp. RNAcentral's name for it is "bacterial SSU rRNA". It matches the Rfam family "Bacterial small subunit ribosomal RNA", at positions 355 to 774 of the family's 1533-position model. The record is from RNAcentral. Lineage: Bacteria; Pseudomonadati; Gemmatimonadota; Gemmatimonadia; Gemmatimonadales; Gemmatimonadaceae.